UGAGAUUUGAUUUACCACAUACUUUUUUUUUAAUAACCCGGUGUAUUCUGACCCCCACCAAAAUGGGUCCAGACUAGCAGAGAGUGUCCAUAACACAGCCAGAUUUACGACAGACUUUGCUAGAUCCAUUAAUCAAUUUUCUCAGAUCAACCAAACUGAAAACUUUAGCAAUCGAACCAAGAUCCACAUAGAUAUAGCCUUACGUAAUGAUUAGAGGUGAUGUUACAUAUAAAAGACCAACGUCUCCACCU
This 251-nucleotide long non-coding RNA is filed under the name Brassica napus (rape). RNAcentral's name for it is "long non-coding RNA (BNAP_LNC017713)". The record is from RNAcentral. Lineage: Eukaryota; Viridiplantae; Streptophyta; Magnoliopsida; Brassicales; Brassicaceae.